CUGCAGGCUCUGGAGUGAGUCCAUUUCUGAGUUCCUACUUGCUAAGGUGACCCUUACAGACAUUUCCAAACCCAGGGCAGCUGUAUCUCCUUGCCUUUCCCAACCAAGUUAUCUGACACUCAAGAUUCUAUGACCUCAGAAGAAUUAUGACUGCCCAGUCAAACAAAGCGUUGAUAACACCACGCCCUGCACUUUUCACCUGAGCAAAUGUCACCAAGCCCUCACGUGUGCCAUCUGCCUGGCAUAUAUUAAAAACUGACAUGCCAAACUUGCCUUCUUACAGAAUUACCUCGGAAAUAGAGCUGAGAUUCCAGGGGUCCUGGCCUUGAAGAGAAUCUAAUCCAAGAAGACAAGCGGAACCGAGAAGCCUAGGAAGACUUAAAGUUGGCAGGAAAAAAUUCACAGCUAAUUUGGGGGAUAAACAGAAAAAUGGUUCUGCAAAAUGUGAACACAUUUUUCCAAGUGCUACAAGCAGAGGAAGGGGCCGGGAUGGGGGUGUGUAAGGAGGGGAACUGCCCUUUCCACCUUCCCUUUCCUCUCUUAGGCUUAGCAUUCAACAGCAAUCGAAACAUCCACAAAGAAGAUGAAUAUUCCCCACCCUGGCACUCCUGUAGCUUUAGCCCAUGCAUAUUAUGUCUCCAACCAGGCCAGAGUUUCCUACUAAUUUUUUAAAAUUCAUUCUUUAAAAAGAUCUAUUUAUUUAUUUUUGAGAGGGUGGGAGGGGCAUAUGGAGAGGGAGAGAAAAGUCACAAGCAGACUCCCACAAUGCUGAGAUGAGGCCCUGAGCUGAAACCGAGAGUAUAACGUUUAACUGACUGUGCCAUCCAGACACCCCUUAAAAUUCAUUUUGGUUGCUCAUGACUCCCUUUUACUACUUUUAUCAGCUUUGUGUCCUGAAAUUUCUCUUUGCAUGGUAUGCCCUCCCUCUACCAUAGCUAAAGGAGAACUAAAAUUGUCUUUGUCUCCAGAGUGGGAAAGGACCCAGCUAUAUGGGAUAGUAUCUAUUCCUUCCUGUGUAAUUGAUUAUUAAACACUUGAUUUUUUUUUAAGAUUUAUUUAUCUAUUUUAGAAAGAGAGAGAGUACACGCCCAUGGGAGCUGGAAAUAGAGGGAGAGGGAGAGAGAGAAUCUCAAGCAUUCCAUUGAGCUCUGAACCCAUUCAGGACCCUGAGAUCAUGACCUGAGCUGCAAUCAAGAGUCGGACACUCAACCAACUGAGUCACCCAGGUGUCCCUUAAACCCUUGCUUUUUAAAGGAAAUGUAAUACCGACAUUUCUAUCUCAUUUACACUUGGUUUAAGAAAGUGUUUUUUCUAAGAACAAUAUGAACUUGUGUGAUGCAUAGCCAUCUUGAGCAUCUAGAAGUUUUCUAGAAGACAUGUGCCUUCUCAGCAGCUUUCUCAUGAGCCUCGGAGUGUCUUCUAUUUCCUAAGUAGGAAGCAAUAUCUUCUCACACUAAGUUGAAAAUCUAAUUAAAUCCAAUUCACUUCUCUAACAUCAAUAAACUUAGACUCCAGCAGGUCAUGUCACUAGAAAGCCACAUGUUGAAUUCUGUAGGUUCUGUUAGCCUCUUGUAGCAAUGCUGAGGACAUGGGCUCUAGGGCCAGAUUCCCUGCAUUGGAAUCCUACCUUACCCUCUUCAGUUGUAAAUAUUCAAUGCGAUAAAACAGGCAAUCACAUAGCAUGGUGCCUGACCCGCACCACUGAGUUAACAUUAGUGGUCACCUCUGGGCUUUUGCAUGAUUUUGGUAAUCAUCAGGACCAAUCUAAGAAAUUACUUAGGAAUCACAGAAAGAUGUUUCUGCAAUUACUGUAAAGCUUCUUUUGAAGAUACCACCCACUUUGCCUUUCAAUAUCUCUUGUGGAAAAUACUCCUUUGUUAAAUUCAUGUGCAGUCAUUUAAGUUAGAAAAACAAAUCUAUUUUUCCUGAUGAACUGAUAGGCUUCUUUUAAGGAAGUCACUGCAGAUGAACGACUGAUUUUUAGUUCUUUGCUGUGGCUGCCAGAAAGUCAGGGUUUAUGUUCAGUUGUGGUAACAAUCCCGAGCUUAAUAGUAAUAGCCAAAUAAUAACUCAUGUUGCAAAAGAAUAAAGCUGAUGUUUCAGAGCAUUUUGGAGUAUUAUUAUCUGAUUAUGUGCACUAGCUCCAGAGUGAAAACUAGAGGAGGGCUAUUACUACUAAAAAAUCUACCUGAAAUUAAUAGCCAGGCUGUUUCAGAGCCCGCUGCUUUAUGCCUGCCCUGACCGUGACCUAUGAUACAUCCUCCUGAAAGAAACUAAGUGAAAGUAUUGUCUAAAGGUACAGAUUUUGGCAGCUGUUAAAAUUACACAGUAAUUGUCCAUUCACACUGUGUUGAGUUACCGUAAUGAAUUUACUGCUAGUGCAGAAGAAAGGAAACCAGCAUUGGUGAAACUAGCCGUUGAUGAAUACUCAUUAAGUCAA
Lutra lutra (Eurasian river otter) is the source of this 2440-nucleotide long non-coding RNA. RefSeq lists it as uncharacterized. The transcript is spliced from 3 exons. The record is from RefSeq and is a predicted model, not a curated record. NCBI's taxonomy places the organism in Eukaryota, Metazoa, Chordata, Mammalia, Carnivora, Mustelidae.